AUAAUUAAGAGUUUGAUCCUGGCUCAGGAUGAACGCUGGCGGCGUGCCUAACACAUGCAAGUCGAGCGAGAAUUAAGGGAGUGGAGACUUCGGUCAAAGCAAGCUUAAGGAAAGCGGCGGACGGGUGAGUAACGCGUGGGUAACCUGCCUCAUACAAAGGGAUAGCCACUGGAAACGGUGAUUAAUACCCUAUAAGAC
RNAcentral lists this non-coding RNA (198 nucleotides) under Fusibacter sp. 3D3. RNAcentral's name for it is "Fusibacter sp. 3-D3-R-P8ASC2010 Bacterial small subunit ribosomal RNA". It matches the Rfam family "Bacterial small subunit ribosomal RNA", at positions 1 to 179 of the family's 1533-position model. The record is from Rfam by way of RNAcentral. Lineage: Bacteria; Bacillati; Bacillota; Clostridia; Eubacteriales; Fusibacteraceae.